CUACCUCCUCCUCCUCCUCCACCGCCGCUUUCACCUACACCGCCACGAUCACCGCCUCCUCAACCUAUGGGUCACUUAGUAUAAACUAUGUACACAACAGCAGAGGCUUGUGAAGGCCUUUUCUCCAUGCAUCAGGAGUUGAGCUCAGUUUGAACAAUGAAAGAAUACCCUGCACUCCAACCCUCUCUCAAAUGGAUAAUUCUGGUGAUUCUCCUGACAGCCAUGCUUUAGAUUUUGAUUUAUGUUCUUCCAAAGCUAAAAUCAAAGAUUCCAUCUAGUGCUAUUUUAU
This is a non-coding RNA of Pelobates cultripes (western spadefoot toad), 289 nucleotides long. NCBI's taxonomy places the organism in Eukaryota, Metazoa, Chordata, Amphibia, Anura, Pelobatidae. The record is from the annotation of a GenBank genome assembly.